GAUGAACGCUGGCGGCGUGCCUAAUACAUGCAAGUCGAGCGAACGGACGAGAAGCUUUCUUCUCUGAUGUUAGCGGCGGACGGGUGAGUAACACGUGGAUAACCUACCUAUAAUACUGGGAUAACUUCGGGAAACCGUAGCUAAUACCGGAUAAUAUUUUGAACCGCAUAGUUCAAAAGUGAAAGACGGUCUUGCUGUCACUUAUAGAUGGAUCCGCGCUGCAUUAGCUAGUUGGUAAGGUAACGGCUUACCAAGGCAACGAUGCAUAGCCGACCUGAGAGGGUGAUCAGCCACACUGGAACUGAGACACGGUCCAGACUCCUACGGGAGGCAGCAGUAGGGAAUAUUCGGCAAUGGGCGAAAGCCUGACGGAGCCACGCCGCGUGAGUGAUGAAGGUCUUCGGAUCGUAAAACUCUGUUAUUAGGGAAGAAAAUAUGUGUAAGUAACUGUGCACAUCUUGACGGUACCUAAUGAGAAAGCACCGGCUAACUACGUG
This 497-nucleotide ribosomal RNA is filed under the name uncultured bacterium. RNAcentral describes it as "partial 16S ribosomal RNA". It matches the Rfam family "Bacterial small subunit ribosomal RNA", at positions 28 to 507 of the family's 1533-position model. The record is from RNAcentral.